UUUUAUUCCUUAGACCUAAUUAAUAUUUAUUAUUUUUAUUAAUAAUUUAUUUUAUAAUUACUAUCUUUUUUCUUUUAGGAUUACUACUAAGUAAUUGUUAAAUUUUCUAAAUUUUUAUUUUCUUCUUUUUAUUUUGCAUUUUUUCUUGAAAAUUAAUUUAUAUAAUUUCUUACCACUAAUUAUCUGACACAUAUCAACCUCUUAUCAAUUCAAUUAACACAUGUCAUAAUCUUGUUAAUGACUAACUUUGAAAACCUAACUUUAUAUAAUAAGAUAAAAGUUGAG
This 285-nucleotide long non-coding RNA is filed under the name Capsella rubella. RNAcentral describes it as "long non-coding RNA (CRUB_LNC002620)". Lineage: Eukaryota; Viridiplantae; Streptophyta; Magnoliopsida; Brassicales; Brassicaceae. The record is from RNAcentral.